UAAAGAGUUCUAUAACUCCCAAACCCAUGUGAACAUACCUAACGUUGCCUCGGCAGGUCGCACCUACCUUGUAGCACCCUACCCUGUAGGGCCUACCCGGGAGGUGCGGGUAAGCCUGCCGGCGGCCCACCAAACUCUGUUUGAUAUUGAAUUCUGAACCUAUAACUAAAUAAGUUAAAACUUUCAACAACGGAUCUCUUGGUUCUGGCAUCGAUGAAGAACGCAGCGAAAUGCGAUAAGUAAUGUGAAUUGCAGAAUUCAGUGAAUCAUCGAAUCUUUGAACGCAUAUUGCGCCCAUUAGUAUUCUAGUGGGCAGGACCGUUCGAGCGUCAUUUCAACCCUUAAGCCUUCGUUGCUUAGUGUUGGGAGCCUACGGCAACGUAGCUCCUCAAAGUUAGUGGCGGAGUUGGUUCACACUCUAGACGUAGUAAUUUUUUAUCUCGCCUAUUAGUUGGACUAAUCCCCUGCCGUAAAACCCCCAAUUUAUCAAGGUUGACCUCGAAUCGGUUCAGACAAACUCGCUAAAUUGAAGCAUCUUAGUCAGCGAAGGAAAAGAAACCAACAGGGAUUGCCCUAGUAACGGCGAGU
This 588-nucleotide ribosomal RNA is filed under the name fungal endophyte. RNAcentral's name for it is "eukaryotic LSU rRNA". The stretch from base 179 to 332 matches the Rfam family "5.8S ribosomal RNA". Lineage: Eukaryota; Fungi. The record is from RNAcentral.